ACGUAGGGAGCAAGCGUUGUCCGGAAUCAUUGGGCGUAAAGGGCGCGUAGGCGGUCUGUUAAGUCAAGUGUGAAAAACAUGGGCUCAACCCAUGAAGUGCGCUUGAAACUGGCAGACUGGAGUACAGGAGAGGAAAGUGGAAUUCCUAGUGUAGCGGUGAAAUGCGUAGAUAUUAGGAAGAACAUCGAUGGCGAAGGCAGCUUUCUGGCCUUAAACUGACGCUGAGGCGCGAAAGCGUGGGGAGCAAACAGGA
Molecule: ribosomal RNA, 253 nt
Filed under: uncultured prokaryote
Description: partial 16S ribosomal RNA
Rfam family: Bacterial small subunit ribosomal RNA
Source: RNAcentral